CUCCCUGUGGUGUAGUUGGCUAUCACGUCGGGCUGUAAUCGUACAUUUCACCUGAAGGUCACCGGCUCGACUCCGGUCGGGGAGA
RNAcentral lists this transfer RNA (85 nucleotides) under Plectosphaerella plurivora. RNAcentral's name for it is "tRNA-Tyr". The record is from RNAcentral. Lineage: Eukaryota; Fungi; Ascomycota; Sordariomycetes; Glomerellales; Plectosphaerellaceae.